GAUGAACGCUAGCGGCAGGCCUAAUACAUGCAAGUCGGACGGGAUUCAGGAGCUUGCUUCUGAUGAGAGUGGCGCACGGGUGCGUAACGCGUAUGUAACCUACCUUUAUCAGGGGGAUAGCCUCUCGAAAGAGAGAUUAAGCCCGCAUAAAAUCACAGCACAGCAUUGUGUAAUGAUCAAAUAUUUAUAGGAUAAAGAUGGGCAUGCGGAACAUUAGCUAGAUGGCGGGGUAACGGCCCACCAUGGCGACGAUGUUUAGGGGAUCUGAGAGGAUGGCCCCCCACACUGGUACUGCGACACGGACCAGACUCCUACGGGAGGCAGCAGUAAGGAAUAUUGGUCAAUGGGCGGUAGCCUGAACCAGCCAUGCCGCGUGCAGGAAGACGGCCCUACGGGUUGUAAACUGCUUUUAUACGGGAAUAAACCCAGAUACGUGUAUCUGGCUGAAUGUACUGUAAGAAUAAGGAUCGGCUAACUCCGUG
This 482-nucleotide ribosomal RNA is filed under the name uncultured bacterium. RNAcentral's name for it is "partial 16S ribosomal RNA". It matches the Rfam family "Bacterial small subunit ribosomal RNA", at positions 28 to 507 of the family's 1533-position model. The record is from RNAcentral.